UAGCGGAGGAAAAGAAACCAACUGGGAUUACCUUAGUAACGGCGAGUGAAGCGGUAAAAGCUCAAAUUUGAAAUCUGGUACUUUCAGUGCCCGAGUUGUAAUUUGUAGAAUUUGUCUUUGAUUAGGUCCUUGUCUAUGUUCCUUGGAACAGGACGUCAUAGAGGGUGAGAAUCCCGUUUGGCGAGGAUACCUUUUCUCUGUAAGACUUUUUCGAAGAGUCGAGUUGUUUGGGAAUGCAGCUCAAAGUGGGUGGUAAAUUCCAUCUAAAGCUAAAUAUUGGCGAGAGACCGAUAGCGAACAAGUACAGUGAUGGAAAGAUGAAAAGAACUUUGAAAAGAGAGUGAAAAAGUACGUGAAAUUGUUGAAAGGGAAGGGCAUUUGAUCAGACAUGGUGUUUUUUGCAUGCACUCGCCUCUCGUGGGCUUGGGCCUCUCAAAAAUUUCACUGGGCCAACAUCAAUUCUGGCAGUAGGAUAAAUCAUUAAGAAUGUAGCUACCUCGGUAGUGUUAUAGCUUAUUGGAAUACUGCUAGCUGGGAUUGAGGACUGCGCUUCGGCAAGGAUGUUGGCAUAAUGGUUAAAUGCCGCCCGUC
This 591-nucleotide ribosomal RNA is filed under the name Hanseniaspora opuntiae. RNAcentral describes it as "partial 26S ribosomal RNA". It matches the Rfam family "Eukaryotic large subunit ribosomal RNA", at positions 48 to 653 of the family's 3401-position model. Lineage: Eukaryota; Fungi; Ascomycota; Saccharomycetes; Saccharomycodales; Saccharomycodaceae. The record is from RNAcentral.